AUUCCAGCUCCAAUAGCGUAUAUUAAAGUUGUUGCAGUUAAAGAGCUCGUAGUUGGAUUUCUGGUUGGAGCGACCGGUCGGGCAUUGAUUUGUCUGCACUGGAGUCGGUUCUGGCCAUCCUCUUGGAAAGUGCGUCUGUCAUUAAGUUGUCGGGCGUAUGAUCCAGGUCUUUUACUGUGAAAAAAUUAGAGUGUUUAAAGCAGGCCUUCGCCUUGAAUACAUUAGCAUGGAAUAAUAAGAUAGGACUUUGGUCUAUUUUGUUGGUUUGCAGACCGAAGUAAUGAUUAAUAGGGAUAGUUGGGGGUAUUUAUAUUCCAAUGUCAGAGGUGAAAUUCUUAGAUUUUUGGAAGAUAAACUUAUGCGAAAGCAUUUACCAAGGAUGUUUUCAUCA
Molecule: ribosomal RNA, 391 nt
Filed under: Stramenopiles sp. MAST-4D
Lineage: Eukaryota
Description: partial small subunit ribosomal RNA
Rfam family: Eukaryotic small subunit ribosomal RNA
Source: RNAcentral